GAUGGAGCGUCUUAUGGUAGUGACAGUGCCAUGGAAGCCAAGGACCGUGGAGCUCAAACAUGGUCGCGUAGAGUUGAAGCAGUCUUUCCUAUAAAGAGCCAGAAUACAAGUCUGGAGAAGGUGGUUAGGACUUGGUUCUCGCAGAGAACAAGUCUGGAGUGAGACUGGGAGAUUGAUCUUCUCCUCUGAAGGAUGGAUCAAGGGAGCGGUUGUUUAGUACUUCUCUCUCAUAGAGGAAGUAAGGAGUCGUUGAUUGG
This 257-nucleotide unclassified non-coding RNA is filed under the name Hevea brasiliensis (rubber tree). The record is from RNAcentral. Lineage: Eukaryota; Viridiplantae; Streptophyta; Magnoliopsida; Malpighiales; Euphorbiaceae.